CCAACCCGGGACUGAAACCUCCAAAACUGAGUUGCAGUCAACUUUUCCUCUUUCUCUGCUGAUUAUUUCAGGUCUCUUGUACUGACUGCAGUUGGGAGUGCUGUUUCCGGUUGUGUGGUUCAUGCCCCAGUGAUUCUGUGUACGUUCUCUCUUCGCUCUGAUAAUGUAGGAGCUUCCUCCAAACCCAGUGUUUCAGAAAACUAGGAAGGGGCGCUGCUCUGAUGUUCUGAAAGUGGCUUCUCAAGAGGAUCCUCCACUCGCAGGGACCUGGGAGAGGCCAGUCGAACUCUGAGUUUAAGGCUAAGAGACUUUGAACCAGAAGGCGGUUGUGAUGACAGUGUGUGGGUAUGUGGCUGUUUCUAAGGAAAUAAAGUGA
This 376-nucleotide long non-coding RNA is filed under the name Fukomys damarensis (Damara mole-rat). RNAcentral's name for it is "lncRNA (ENSFDAG00000022721.1)". Lineage: Eukaryota; Metazoa; Chordata; Mammalia; Rodentia; Bathyergidae. The record is from RNAcentral.